RNAcentral lists this ribosomal RNA (483 nucleotides) under uncultured bacterium. RNAcentral describes it as "SSU rRNA". It matches the Rfam family "Bacterial small subunit ribosomal RNA", at positions 26 to 522 of the family's 1533-position model. The record is from RNAcentral.
AGGACGAACGCUGGCGGCGUGCCUAACACAUGCAAGUCGAACGAGGUCCAUCCAGUGGCAACACUGGUGAAGACCUAGUGGCGAACGGGUGAGUAACACGUGAGGAACCUGCCCCGAAGACCGGGAUAACUCUCCGAAAGGAGAGCUAAUACCGGAUACCCCCAACUGAUCGCAUGGUCGGAUGAGGAAAUGGAUUCCGCUUCGGGAGGGCCUCGCGGCCUAUCAGCUAGUUGGUGAGGUAACGGCUCACCAAGGCAUCGACGGGUAGCUGGUCUGAGAGGACGAUCAGCCACACUGGAACUGAGACACGGCCCAGACUCCUACGGGAGGCAGCAGUGGGGAAUAUUGCACAAUGGGCGCAAGCCUGAUGCAGCAACGCCGCGUGAGGGACGACGGCCUCGGUUGUAACCUCUUUAGUAGGGAGAAGCGAAGUGACGGUACCUGCAGAAAAGCACCGGCUAACUACGUGCAGCAGCCGCGGUA